ACGGGGGGUGCAAGCGUUGUUCGGAAUUAUUGGGCGUAAAGCGCGUGUAGGCGGUUCGUUAAGUCUGAUGUGAAAGCCCCGGGCUUAACCUGGGAAGUGCAUUGGAAACUGGCAGUCUUGAGUACGGGAGAGGGUGGGGGAAUUCCCGGUGUAGGGGUGAAAUUCGUAGAUAUCAGGAGGAACAUCAGUGGCGAAGGCGCCUACCUGGACGGUAACUGACGCUGAGCCGCGAAAGCGUGGGGAGCAAACAG
This 251-nucleotide ribosomal RNA is filed under the name uncultured prokaryote. RNAcentral describes it as "partial 16S rRNA". It matches the Rfam family "Bacterial small subunit ribosomal RNA", at positions 525 to 775 of the family's 1533-position model. The record is from RNAcentral.